Molecule: ribosomal RNA, 253 nt
Filed under: uncultured bacterium
Lineage: Bacteria
Also listed under: 1 other name
Description: partial 16S ribosomal RNA
Rfam family: Bacterial small subunit ribosomal RNA
Source: RNAcentral
UACGGAAGGGGCAAGCGUUGUUCGGAAUCAUUGGGCGUAAAGGGCGCGUAGGUGGUUCUGUAUGUCUACCGUGAAAGCAUACAGCUCAACUGUAUUUUGUCGGUAGAAACUGCAGGACUUGAGGCUGGGAGGGGCUGGUGGAAUUCCCUGUGUAGCGGUGAAAUGCGUAGAGAUGGGGGAGAACACUCGUGGCGAAGGCGGCCAGCUAGACCAGUUCUGACACUGAGGCGCGACAGCGUGGGGAGCAAACAGG